UAAAACCAGCUCUUCAAGUGGUCGGGAAUUUUAUUGGGCUUAAAGCGUCCGUAGCCGGUUUGAUAAGUUCCUGGUUAAAUCUGGCAGCUCAACUGUCAGUUGGCUAGGAAUACUAUCUUACUAGAGGGUGGGAAAGGUUUGAGGUACUCCAGGGGUAGCGGUGAAAUGCUAUAAUCCUUGGGGGACCACCAGUGGCGAAGGCGUCAGACUGGAACACGCCUGACGGUGAGGGACGAAAGCCAGGGGAGCGAACGGGAUUAGAUACCCCGGUAGUCCUGGCUGUAAACGAUGCGUGCUAGGUGUUGGUAGGGCUAUGAGCCGUAUCAGUGCCGUAGGGAAACUGUUAAGCGCGCCGCCUGGGAAGUACGCUCGCAAGGGUG
This 380-nucleotide ribosomal RNA is filed under the name uncultured archaeon. Its description in RNAcentral is "bacterial SSU rRNA". It matches the Rfam family "Archaeal small subunit ribosomal RNA", at positions 471 to 851 of the family's 1478-position model. The record is from RNAcentral.